Molecule: ribosomal RNA, 340 nt
Filed under: uncultured Pseudomonadota bacterium
Lineage: Bacteria; Pseudomonadati; Pseudomonadota
Description: bacterial SSU rRNA
Rfam family: Bacterial small subunit ribosomal RNA
Source: RNAcentral
AACAAACGCUGGCGGCGUGCCUAACACAUGCAAGUCGUACGAGAAAAUUCACUUCGGUGAGUAAGUAAAGUGGCGCACGGGUGAGUAACGCGUGGAUAAUCUACCCUUUAGUCGGGGAUAACUCAUCGAAAGGUGGGCUAAUACCCGAUGAUACUGCUUCUACUGCGGUUAAGUAGUCAAAGGUAGCCUCUGUUUACAAGCUUUCGCUAAAGGAUGAGUCCGCGUACCAUUAGCUAGUUGGUAGGGUAAUGGCCUACCAAGGCGACGAUGGUUAGCUGGUCUGAGAGGAUGAUCAGCCACACUGGAACUGAGACACGGUCCAGACUCCUACGGGAGGCAG